This 741-nucleotide long non-coding RNA is filed under the name Populus trichocarpa (black cottonwood). RNAcentral's name for it is "long non-coding RNA (PTRI_LNC002007)". Lineage: Eukaryota; Viridiplantae; Streptophyta; Magnoliopsida; Malpighiales; Salicaceae. The record is from RNAcentral.
UGAUUAUCAUAUUUUGUUUCAUGUUCACAAAAGAGACAUGUUACUUGGCUGGGAUGUAUCAAAUGGCGGUGCGCUAGGAAGGCUCUAGUACACACUUUGCCAUGCAGUAGCAACCAUAUGAACAUUUCGAUCUUCGGUAGGGAAAAUCCUUUCCAUAAGAGGGGAGAGUAAGGGAAGUUUCCUGGAUAAAAGAUGUUAUCAAUUAAUUCUUAAUAGUACAAGCACUAGUUUCUUCUCCUCCCCACAUUUUUGUAUCAGUUUUGUUUUCAUAUAGAUUUAUAUCUGCUAGCAGUUGAGUCAAACUCUGUAAUUGUUCCUCUUAUAAUGGUCGUAUAUAUAAGUAUUUUCUAGUAUGGCAUCCACUACCACUGAGCUGAGAUGUACUCCCUCAUAUUUAGCAAGCAUGAUAAAGGUGCUAUGGACAAGGAAAUAGGCGUGGAUGUGUUUGUCAUUGUCAACCCGAUACCAACAAUUAUUCUUCAAAGCAUCUCUAAUUGCAGAAUUUGUGUCAAUGAGAGAAUUUAUGGAUUGUCAUGUUUCUGAAAGAGGUGGAUGAAGUAUUGGUAGGCCAUUGGUGAAGGAAACUUGAUACUUUUUAUUGAUAAGCUCUUGUCAGCCUCCCGAAUUAUUAUCACGUAGCCUCCAUAGCAAUUUCAAUAGCAAUGCCUUGUACUUGCCUUCCAGUGAACUAAUGCCUAAACCUCUUCUAUUCUUUCCCUUGACCACCAUUUGCCAUGCAAC